GUGAGAAAGAUCAGGGUGGGCCAGAUUAGCCAGGGAAGGCUUCUUGGCAAAAGAAACUCAGAAACCCUGUUCUCACAGAUGGGUUUGGAUUUGGGAUGGUAAAAGAAAUGAGCAGUGAGGACAUCAACCUGGGCCAGUGGAAGGAGGGAGCCUGGUGGAGUGGGUGACAAGGGUGCCAAGCUUAGAAACAGAGCUCCACACAAGCCUGGAAAGAAUGCUCGUGGUAGUGGCAGGCAGUGACAGCACGGGUCUGUGUGCCUUGGGAUCUCCUGGUCAGCUCUAGCAGCCCGUGAGCAGAUCACCCCGAGAGGCUUCUCCACCCGCUGGAUGGAGCAGAGCCCAUGCAGAGAGCUGGAAAAGGCAGGUUUAGGGCUGGAUGCCUUUGAGAGAAGCUCAUUUGACAUUAUGCCUCUCAGGCAGCAUUUGCCCCACGCCUUGGUUUUACAUAAAACCCGAAUAGCCUUCCAGAUCACCCACCGCCACAGGCCACGCACCGUCUUCUACCCCGACGGCGGGUAAGCAAAGUCAUGGCCACAGAAGGCGGCUGAAAUAAAAUGUGUAAUUGUGCUCCAAGACACCUUAA
This is a long non-coding RNA of Neofelis nebulosa (Clouded leopard), 583 nucleotides long. RefSeq lists it as uncharacterized. NCBI's taxonomy places the organism in Eukaryota, Metazoa, Chordata, Mammalia, Carnivora, Felidae. The transcript has 2 exons. The record is from RefSeq and is a predicted model, not a curated record.